This 101-nucleotide microRNA precursor is filed under the name Marmota monax (woodchuck). The record is from RNAcentral. Lineage: Eukaryota; Metazoa; Chordata; Mammalia; Rodentia; Sciuridae.
AGUGGAACUGCUGGGUUAUAUGGUAACUCUGUUGAACUUUUGGAAGAACUGCCACACUGUUUUCCAUAGCAGCUGUACUAUUUUACAUUCCCAUUAGCCAU